ACUUAAAUUGAAGAGUUUGAUCAUGGCUCAGAUUGAACGCUGGCGGCAGGCCUAACACAUGCAAGUCGAGCGGUAGCACAGAGAGCUUGCUCUCGGGUGACGAGCGGCGGACGGGUGAGUAAUGUCUGGGAAACUGCCUGAUGGAGGGGGAUAACUACUGGAAACGGUAGCUAAUACCGCAUAACGUCGCAAGACCAAAGUGGGGGACCUUCGGGCCUCAUGCCAUCAGAUGUGCCCAGAUGGGAUUAGCUAGUAGGUGGGGUAACGGCUCACCUAGGCGACGAUCCCUAGCUGGUCUGAGAGGAUGACCAGCCACACUGGAACUGAGACACGGUCCAGACUCCUACGGGAGGCAGCAGUGGGGAAUAUUGCACAAUGGGCGCAAGCCUGAUGCAGCCAUGCCGCGUGUGUGAAGAAGGCCUUCGGGUUGUAAAGCACUUUCAGCGGGGAGGAAGGCGAUAAGGUUAAUAACCUCAUCGAUUGACGUUACCCGCAGAAGAAGCACCGGCUAACUCCGUGCCAGCAGCCGCGGUAAUACGGAGGGUGCAAGCGUUAAUCGGAAUUACUGGGCGUAAAGCGCACGCAGGCGGUCUGUCAAGUCGGAUGUGAAAUCCCCGGGCUCAACCUGGGAACUGCAUUCGAAACUGGCAGGCUAGAGUCUUGUAGAGGGGGGUAGAAUUCCAGGUGUAGCGGUGAAAUGCGUAGAGAUCUGGAGGAAUACCGGUGGCGAAGGCGGCCCCCUGGACAAAGACUGACGCUCAGGUGCGAAAGCGUGGGGAGCAAACAGGAUUAGAUACCCUGGUAGUCCACGCCGUAAACGAUGUCGAUUUGGAGGUUGUGCCCUUGAGGCGUGGCUUCCGGAGCUAACGCGUUAAAUCGACCGCCUGGGGAGUACGGCCGCAAGGUUAAAACUCAAAUGAAUUGACGGGGGCCCGCACAAGCGGUGGAGCAUGUGGUUUAAUUCGAUGCAACGCGAAGAACCUUACCUGGUCUUGACAUCCACAGAACUUUCCAGAGAUGGAUUGGUGCCUUCGGGAACUGUGAGACAGGUGCUGCAUGGCUGUCGUCAGCUCGUGUUGUGAAAUGUUGGGUUAAGUCCCGCAACGAGCGCAACCCUUAUCCUUUGUUGCCAGCGGUUAGGCCGGGAACUCAAAGGAGACUGCCAGUGAUAAACUGGAGGAAGGUGGGGAUGACGUCAAGUCAUCAUGGCCCUUACGACCAGGGCUACACACGUGCUACAAUGGCAUAUACAAAGAGAAGCGACCUCGCGAGAGCAAGCGGACCUCAUAAAGUAUGUCGUAGUCCGGAUUGGAGUCUGCAACUCGACUCCAUGAAGUCGGAAUCGCUAGUAAUCGUAGAUCAGAAUGCUACGGUGAAUACGUUCCCGGGCCUUGUACACACCGCCCGUCACACCAUGGGAGUGGGUUGCAAAAGAAGUAGGUAGCUUAACCUUCGGGAGGGCGCUUACCACUUUGUGAUUCAUGACUGGGGUGAAGUCGUAACAAGGUAACCGUAGGGGAACCUGCGGUUGGAUCACCUCCUUACCUUAAAGAA
Molecule: ribosomal RNA, 1554 nt
Filed under: Klebsiella pneumoniae
Lineage: Bacteria; Pseudomonadati; Pseudomonadota; Gammaproteobacteria; Enterobacterales; Enterobacteriaceae
Description: bacterial SSU rRNA
Rfam family: Bacterial small subunit ribosomal RNA
Source: RNAcentral